RNAcentral lists this transfer RNA (81 nucleotides) under Candidatus Azambacteria bacterium. RNAcentral's name for it is "tRNA-Leu". It matches the Rfam family "tRNA". Rfam says of the family: Transfer RNA (tRNA) molecules are approximately 80 nucleotides in length. Their secondary structure includes four short double-helical elements and three loops (D, anti-codon, and T loops). Further hydrogen bonds mediate the characteristic L-shaped molecular structure. tRNAs have two regions of fundamental functional importance: the anti-codon, which is responsible for specific mRNA codon recognition, and the 3' end, to which the tRNAs corresponding amino acid is attached (by aminoacyl-tRNA synthetases). tRNAs cope with the degeneracy of the genetic code in two manners: having more than one tRNA (with a specific anti-codon) for a particular amino acid; and 'wobble' base-pairing, i.e. permitting non-standard base-pairing at the 3rd anti-codon position. The record is from RNAcentral. Lineage: Bacteria; Candidatus Azamiibacteriota.
GGGCGAGUGGUGGAAUGGCAGACACGUACGACUCAAAAUCGUAUGCCGAAAGGCAUGGGAGUUCGACUCUCCCCUCGCCCA